This 229-nucleotide unclassified non-coding RNA is filed under the name uncultured fungus. RNAcentral's name for it is "sequence contains ITS1, 5.8S rRNA gene". The stretch from base 181 to 229 matches the Rfam family "5.8S ribosomal RNA", at positions 1 to 49 of the family's 154-position model. Lineage: Eukaryota; Fungi. The record is from RNAcentral.
UCUCCGUUGGUGAACCAGCGGAGGGAUCAUUACCGAGUUUACAACUCCCAAACCCCUGUGAACAUACCAAUUGUUGCCUCGGCGGAUCAGCCCGCUCCCGGUAAAACGGGACGGCCCGCCAGAGGACCCCUAAACUCUGUUUCUAUAUGUAACUUCUGAGUAAAACCAUAAAUAAAUCAAAACUUUCAACAACGGAUCUCUUGGUUCUGGCAUCGAUGAAGAACGCAGC